UGAAAGAGUGGAUGGACACUCAGAGUUGAA
Molecule: non-coding RNA, 30 nt
Filed under: Homo sapiens (human)
Lineage: Eukaryota; Metazoa; Chordata; Mammalia; Primates; Hominidae
Source: RNAcentral